GGGGGGAGGCCGGAUCCUGGGCUGUGUCCCGGCGCCCUGUGCUCCGGAGCCUGCGCGGUUGGAUUCGCGCUCCCGCCCCGCAGCCCCCU
Molecule: microRNA precursor, 89 nt
Filed under: Canis lupus familiaris (dog)
Lineage: Eukaryota; Metazoa; Chordata; Mammalia; Carnivora; Canidae
Also listed under: 1 other name
Description: mir-8799 microRNA precursor family
Rfam family: mir-8799 microRNA precursor family
Source: Rfam by way of RNAcentral